AGACCCGAAACCCGGUGAUCUAGCCAUGGGCAGGUUGAAGGUUGGGUAACACUAACUGGAGGACCGAACCGACUAAUGUUGAAAAAUUAGCGGAUGACCUGUGGCUGGGGGUGAAAGGCCAAUCAAACCGGGAGAUAGCUGGUUCUCCCCGAAAGCUAUUUAGGUAGCGCCUCGUGAAUUCAUCUCCGGGGGUAGAGCACUGUUUCGGCUAGGGGGCCAUCCCGGCUUACCAACCCGAUGCAAACUGCGAAUACCGGAGAAUGUUAUCACGGGAGACACACGGCGGGUGCUAACGUCCGUCGUGAAGAGGGAAACAACCCAGACCGCCAGCUAAGGUCCCAAAGUCAUGGUUAAGUGGGAAACGAUGUGGGAAGGCCCAGACAGCCAGGAUGUUGGCUUAGAAGCAGCCAUCAUUUAAAGAAAGCGUA
This 428-nucleotide ribosomal RNA is filed under the name Salmonella enterica subsp. enterica serovar Heidelberg. RNAcentral's name for it is "partial 23S ribosomal RNA". It matches the Rfam family "Bacterial large subunit ribosomal RNA", at positions 711 to 1136 of the family's 2925-position model. Lineage: Bacteria; Pseudomonadati; Pseudomonadota; Gammaproteobacteria; Enterobacterales; Enterobacteriaceae. The record is from RNAcentral. RNAcentral also lists the same sequence under 6 other names.